UGUUAGUGGCAGUACGGGUGAGUAAUGCGUAGGAAUCUACCUAGUAGUACGGAAUAGCUCAUUAGCAAAUGGUGGGUAAUACUGUAUAAUCCCCGAGGGGGAAAGAUUUAUCGCUAUUAGAUGAGCCUACGUUAGAUUAGCUAGUUGGUCGAGGUAAUGGCUUACCAAGGCUAUGAUCUAUAGCUGGUCUGAGAGGACGAUCANCCACACUGGAACUGAGAUACGGUCCAGACUCCUACGGGAGGCAGCAGUGGGGAAUAUUGGACAAUGGGCGAAAGCCUGAUCCAGCUAUGCCGCGUGAGUGAAGAAGGCCUUCGGGUUGUAAAACUCCUUC
Molecule: ribosomal RNA, 334 nt
Filed under: Ehrlichia canis
Lineage: Bacteria; Pseudomonadati; Pseudomonadota; Alphaproteobacteria; Rickettsiales; Anaplasmataceae
Description: bacterial SSU rRNA
Rfam family: Bacterial small subunit ribosomal RNA
Source: RNAcentral